AGUGGCGGACGGGUGAGUAACGCGUAAGAAUCUUACUUCAGGACGGGGACAACAGUGGGAAACGACUGCUCAUACCCGAUGUGCCGCAAGGUGAAACCUAAUUGGCCUGGAGAAGAGCUUGCGUCUGAUUAGCUAGUUGGUGGGGUAAAGGCCUACCAAGGCGACGAUCAGUAGCUGGUCUGAGAGGAUGAGCAGCCACACUGGGACUGAGACACGGCCCAGACUCCUACGGGAGGCAGCAGUGGGGAACUUUCCGCAAUGGGCGAAAGCCUGACGGAGCAACGCCGCGUGAGGGAGGAAGGUCUUUGGAUUGUAAACCUCUUUUCUCAAGGAAGAAGUUCUGACGGUACUUGAGGAGUCAGCCUCGGCUAACUCCGUGCCAGCAGCCGCGGUAAUACGGGGGAGGCAAGCGUUAUCCGGAAUUAUUGGGCGUAAAGCGUCCGCAGGUGGUCAGCCAAGUCUGCCGUCAAAUCAGGUUGCUUAACGACCUAAAGGCGGUGGAAACUGGCAGACUAGAGAGCAGUAGGGGUAGCAGGAAUUCCCAGUGUAGCGGUGAAAUGCGUAGAGAUUGGGAAGAACAUCGGUGGCGAAAGCGUGCUACUGGGCUGUAUCUGACACUCAGGGACGAAAGCUAGGGGAGCGAAAGGGAUUAGAUACCCCUGUAGUCCUAGCCGUAAACGAUGGAUACUAGGCGUGGCUU
This 700-nucleotide ribosomal RNA is filed under the name uncultured bacterium. Its description in RNAcentral is "bacterial SSU rRNA". It matches the Rfam family "Bacterial small subunit ribosomal RNA", at positions 94 to 828 of the family's 1533-position model. The record is from RNAcentral.